UACGAAGGGGGCGAGCGUUGUUCGGAAUUACUGGGCGUAAAGGGCGCGCAGGCGGCCCUUUAAGUCAGGCGUGAAAGCCCCGGGCUCAACCUGGGAGGUGCGCUUGAUACUCGAGGGCUUGAGUGCGGGAGAGGAGAGUGGAAUUCCCAGUGUAGAGGUGAAAUUCGUAGAUAUUGGGAAGAACACCAGUGGCGAAGGCGACUUACUGGACACAUAUUGACGCUGAGGUGCGAAAGCGUGGGGAGCAAACAGG
Molecule: ribosomal RNA, 253 nt
Filed under: uncultured bacterium
Lineage: Bacteria
Description: partial 16S ribosomal RNA
Rfam family: Bacterial small subunit ribosomal RNA
Source: RNAcentral